CCUACGGGUGGCAGCAGUGAGGAAUAUUGGUCAAUGGGCGCAAGCCUGAACCAGCCAAGUCGCGUGAAGGAUGACGGUCCUAUGGAUUGUAAACUUCUUUUAUAAGGGAAUAAAGUGAGGGACGUGUCCCGUUUUGUAUGUAUUUUAUGAAUAAGGAUCGGCUAACUCCGUGCCAGCAGCCGCGGUAAUACGGAGGAUCCGAGCGUUAUCCGGAUUUAUUGGGUUUAAAGGGAGCGUAGGUGGAUUUUUAAGUCAGCGGUGAAAGUCUGUGGCUCAACCUUAGAAUUGCAGUUGAUACUGGGAGGCGUGAGUAUGUUUGAGGCAGGCGGAAUUAGUGGUGUAGCGGUGAAAUGCUUAGAUAUCACGAAGAACCCCGAUUGCGAAGGCAGCCUGCCAAGC
RNAcentral lists this ribosomal RNA (399 nucleotides) under uncultured bacterium. Its description in RNAcentral is "partial 16S ribosomal RNA". It matches the Rfam family "Bacterial small subunit ribosomal RNA", at positions 338 to 734 of the family's 1533-position model. The record is from RNAcentral.